AAACCGCCCCCGGGCGGACAUGAAGUGGCGAACGGGUGAGUAACACGUGACCGACCUGCCCCCCGCCCAGGGACAGCCCCCCGAAAGGGGGAUUAAUACCUGGUACUCCGGGAGCGGCGCAUGCCGCAUCCGGGAAAGCUCUCGCGGCGGGGGAUGGGGUCGCGGCCCAUCAGGUAGACGGCGGGGCAGAGGCCCACCGUGCCGACGACGGGUAGCCGGGUUGAGAGACCGACCGGCCACAUUGGGACUGAGAUACGGCCCAGACUCCUACGGGAGGCAGCAUG
This 284-nucleotide ribosomal RNA is filed under the name uncultured bacterium. RNAcentral's name for it is "partial 16S ribosomal RNA". It matches the Rfam family "Bacterial small subunit ribosomal RNA", at positions 71 to 353 of the family's 1533-position model. The record is from RNAcentral.